AACGCAAAUUGCACUCUGGGGUAGCCCCCAGAGUACUCUUCUUUCAGUAUCGGUUCCACACAAACUCAGCUGCGUGCAUCGUCAUAUGCAUCUGUUUUGGCUGGAAAAUGAGAUGUCAGAUUUUGUUUAAAAGAUAAAAUCUGUCUCUUUAAGUAUUCUAUUGCUUGUAACGUCUGUAAUGCCGAAAGGAUGUCUCUAUCUUACAAACCCCCUAAGCGGAUGAGUAAGGCUUCCAUUUGGACAACCAAAAACAGCGUCACUGUCCUUUGAUAAACAACCUAAGAACUUUUUUGUUCUGAAGUAAAAACCUCUCAGGACUCGGUGAAAAAUCGCUGGGACCGGCCCCAAAAAAGACUAAGGGGACUGGAGACAUCGGCCGAGUAAAGCACUACAUAAAAACGUUUCGGAGCUUUCUUUAAGAAACCUUAUCUUUUUUUUUUAAAAAAGAUAUGAAUUUGAUCUGAAAUGAAGUGAGACUACCCGCCGAAUUUAA
This 493-nucleotide unclassified non-coding RNA is filed under the name uncultured Thaumatomonadida. Its description in RNAcentral is "sequence contains 5.8S rRNA gene, ITS2, 28S rRNA gene". Lineage: Eukaryota; Cercozoa; Imbricatea; Thaumatomonadida. The record is from RNAcentral.